GAUGAAGAACGCAGCGAAAUGCGAUAAGUAAUGUGAAUUGCAGAAUUCAGUGAAUCAUCGAAUCUUUGAACGCACAUUGCGCCCCUUGGUAUUCCGAGGGGCAUGCCUGUUCGAGCGUCAUUAUAACCCCUCAAGCUCAGCUUGGUGUUGGGGCCUGCUGCACUGGCAGCCCUUAAAAUCAGUGGCGGCGCCAUCUGGCUCUAAGCGUAGUAAUUCUUCUCGCUAUGGAGUCCUGGUGGAUGCUUGCCAUCAACCCCCAAUUUUUCUAUGGUUGACCUCGGAUCAGGUAGGGAUACCCGCUGAACUUAAGCAUAUCAAAUAAGCGGAGGA
This 330-nucleotide unclassified non-coding RNA is filed under the name soil metagenome. RNAcentral describes it as "partial contains 5.8S ribosomal RNA, internal transcribed spacer 2, and large subunit ribosomal RNA". The stretch from base 1 to 120 matches the Rfam family "5.8S ribosomal RNA", at positions 35 to 154 of the family's 154-position model. The record is from RNAcentral.